Non-coding RNA from Triticum urartu, 116 nucleotides. NCBI's taxonomy places the organism in Eukaryota, Viridiplantae, Streptophyta, Magnoliopsida, Poales, Poaceae. The record is from Rfam.
AUCAUACUCCCUCCGUCCGAAAAAACUUGUCCCUUAAAUGGAUGUAUCUAUCACUAACUUGGUGCUAGAUACAUCCAUUUGAAAGACAAACUUUUUUCAGACGGAGGGAGUAGCAU